GUGCCAGCAGCCGCGGUAAUACGUAGGGGGCGAGCGUUGUCCGGAAUUACUGGGCGUAAAGGGCGUGUAGGCGGUAAGAUAAGUUAGAUGUGAAAACUUGAGGGCUCAACCCGAAGACUGCAUCUAAAACUGUCAUACUUGAGGAUGAGAGAGGAAAGUGGAAUUCCUAGUGUAGCGGUGAAAUGCGUAGAUAUUAGGAGGAACACCAGUGGCGAAGGCGACUUUCUGGCUCAUACCUGACGCUGAGGCGCGAAAGCGUGGGGAGCAAACAGGAUUAGAUACCCUGGUAGUCCACGCCGUAAACGAUGGAUACUAGGUGUAGGAGGUAUCGACCCCUUCUGUGCCGUAGCAAACGCAAUAAGUAUCCCGCCUGGGGAGUACGGUCGCAAGACUGAA
RNAcentral lists this ribosomal RNA (396 nucleotides) under uncultured bacterium. Its description in RNAcentral is "bacterial SSU rRNA". It matches the Rfam family "Bacterial small subunit ribosomal RNA", at positions 505 to 898 of the family's 1533-position model. The record is from RNAcentral.